This 253-nucleotide ribosomal RNA is filed under the name uncultured bacterium. Its description in RNAcentral is "partial 16S ribosomal RNA". It matches the Rfam family "Bacterial small subunit ribosomal RNA", at positions 524 to 776 of the family's 1533-position model. The record is from RNAcentral.
UACGUAAGUGGCAAGCGUUGUCCGGAUUUACUGGGCGUAAAGAGCGCGCAGGCGGUCGUUCAAGUCGCGUGUGAAAGCCCCCGGCUCAACUGGGGAGGGUCACGCGAUACUGAUCGACUGGGAGGCAGGAGAGGGUAGUGGAAUUCCCGGUGUAGUGGUGAAAUGCGUAGAUAUCGGGAGGAACACCAGUGGCGAAGGCGACUACCUGGCCUGUUCUUGACGCUGAGGCGCGAAAGCUAGGGGAGCAAACGGG